RNAcentral lists this ribosomal RNA (440 nucleotides) under uncultured bacterium. RNAcentral describes it as "partial 16S ribosomal RNA". It matches the Rfam family "Bacterial small subunit ribosomal RNA", at positions 338 to 795 of the family's 1533-position model. The record is from RNAcentral.
CCUACGGGAGGCUGCAGUGGGGGAUAUUGCACAAUGGGGGAAACCCUGAUGCAGCGACGCCGCGUGUGGGAAGACGGUCCUCUGGAUUGUAAACCACUGUUCCCAGGGACGAAGAUGACGGUACCUGGGGAGGUAGCUCCGGCUAACUACGUGCCAGCAGCCGCGGUAAUACGUAGGGAGCGAGCGUUGUCCGGAAUUACUGGGUGUAAGGGGAGCGUUGGCGGGGAUGCAGGUAGGGUGUAAAAACUACCGGCUCAACUGGUAGUCGCACUCAAAACUGGAGCUCUUGAGUGAAGUAGAGGCAGGCGGAAUUCCUGGUGUAGCGGUGAAAUGCGUAGAUAUUAGGAAGAACACCGAUGGCGAAGGCAGCCUGCUAAGCUUUUACUGACGCUGAGGCUCGAAAGUGUGGGUAGCAAACAGGAUUAGAUACCCCAGUAGUC